Molecule: long non-coding RNA, 2432 nt
Organism: Gopherus evgoodei (Goodes thornscrub tortoise)
Lineage: Eukaryota; Metazoa; Chordata; Testudines; Testudinidae
Exons: 3
Source: RefSeq, a predicted model, not a curated record
CGAUCCGAAAGCAGAGGAAAAGACAGCUGCAGGAUGCUGCACCAGGGUUCUGUGUGUGUGUGUGUGUGUGUAGAGAGAGAGAGAGACACUGAUUUCACCGAGUCUGUCUAAUCUAACUGUAAUGCAAUCUCAGCUGUGCUUUGCAAAUAAAUUAUACAUCUAUAUGCAAUACAAUAUGCAUAUGUAUAAAUAUGUGUGAGCAUUAUACAUAGGUAAAGUGUGUGUGUAUAUGUGUGUGUGUGUGUGCAAUACAGAUAGACAGAGAUGCGAUUAUGUAUUUGUAUGUUACAUGCGGUUUUUAAAUUUGCAAAUAAGUUUCCAUUUCUGCAGACUAGGGGACCUUUUUGGAAAAAAAAUCAGCUCAUUGACCAUGUUUCUAUGGUGAGGAGGUAUCUGUCCCUUCGCCAUCAUCUCUCUCACACACACACACACGCUCUUUUACUGCAGAUAGCUCUGUUGGGAAAUCAAAUAUUCUGCUGUCACAGAGAUCUGGAUGUGACAUGCAUCUAGUUAGGAAAGAGCUGCUCUGUGCAAUGCCCCCCCCCCUUUGUUUUAAAUAGUUUGUUUUAAAAUGUUACUUUGAUCUUGAUCAGUCUGACUUGCUGAAAAUACAUGGGGGUGGGGGGGAGGGACAGCCGGACUACUAGUAAAGCCUUUUUCGUUGCCUGUUUUUGUAUCUUCCCCUUUAAUCCUUAUAAUGUAAAUCAUAAGUGUCUGGGGCAGAUUUAUGUCUGCAGGAUCAGGCUGUGUGUAAAUCUCUUGGAAGGAUAAACAUGUCAUUUGUCCCCUUUGUAUGGUAAUGCUGCCCCCCCCCCCAACAGCUGCCCCAGCCAUGCAUCCUCUCUACAAAACGUCCCAAUUACGCUCCAGAAGUGACCCAUCAUCUACCUCAUUAUUCCCUAGCCCAGACCCAGGGAAGGAGAGGGCUGGGGGUAGUGGGAGGUGGUGUGUUUAUGUGUAUGCGUAGGAGUGGGGGGGGGGACGCAAAGCAAAUGAUUUACAGGCUAAGAAGAAGAGGAGGCUGGAGAAGACCAGGGGAAGGCGGAUGGAGACGAGGGAUGAAGAAUUGCCCAGGCAGAGGCGGGAGGACAGGACGCUUGAGGGCGCAGGGUCAGCACAGUGGGCAUAGAGCCUGCAUGAAAUUUGGGUAUCAGCUAGUGAGGCCUAGCGGGGGGGGGGGUGGAUAAGGGGGCGCAGAGUAGAAAGGGUUUGAAGCGUGGGUGUGGGUGUAAAUCUCUUCAUCAUUCAGAAGGAUCCGCCCCCCUUCUAUGCCCCACACAGGGGCAGCAGCAGUGAGGGGCUCCCCAGCUUUGGGGCUGUUGAAAUCAUUCAAUCCAGAGCGAUAGACAGACAGAGGCUUUAACCCGGCUGCCUGUGCGUUACCGAUCACUCUCGCCAUGGCAGGGCUGGAAAUCUACAGCCUUCUCGCUAGACACCGCCAGAGCUUUGGGUUUACCAAGCGCCCUCCAGCUCCCCCAUCGCCCUGCAGAGAAGGGCCCCCCGCUAGCCCUGAGCAGGUCUGGAGCUGGUUGGUAGGUGGGGGGGCAGGUGCCUCUGCCAAGCCGACCGGACAGAAAGAGGCUCCAUUUCUUUGGCAGGCUCCAGUCCUGUCUCGGCCGUGGCCAGAGCUGGGUCCUUCGCCGCGCGCAGCGGCUCCCCCAUUCCCCUUCCCACGUCCAAAUCGUGGGUGUUGCUUGUUCCUCCCCAGGCUUCCAGACGCAUCACAGAUCGGUGCCCAGGAGCGCUCUUGCGCACAGCUCCGGAAUGGGUUUCGUUUGCUGUUUGUUUGCUGUUAUUUCUCAUUACAGAUGGAGGCCCCUUGCCUAGCCAUGUGAACGGGAGUUCUGGCUCCUUCCUGGUGCUGCCUGGCUGCGGGGCUCAAAGGCAGUGCUCUGGCAUGUCACUGGUUGCACAUUACCUGCCCCAGUGUCCCCGCGCCCCAAUAAUUAGAAGGCACUGGAAGAUACUUGCUCCAGGAUGGAGUGGGCGAGGCCGGCGUGAUCGACACAAACGGGAGUGGACUUACCUUCUGGGGCAGCGCUCGAUCUGAGGGAGUGUUGUACGGGGACAAGUGGAUCAAACGUGUGUGUGUGUGUAAAGAGAGCCUGUUAACACACAGCCACGUCCAUAGCUAUACAGUCCGUUUAUGACCAUAGAACACCAGCGGGGAUUGUCUCUGCUCACCGCCUUGCGUUCGGGCUAUGCCUGCUCUAUAAACGCUUUAAAGCCCUUAAAACUCCACGUCCUCUUUUGCAACUUUUUUUCAAAAUCCCUCCCUGUAUUUAAUAUGUUUUCAGUCCAUGGUGUGUUGUGUGUUUUGUUUUUUGUUUUGUUUUGUUUUUAAUCUUUUCAGCAAAGCCGUUUGCACCUUUGGGGGUUUUCACAUUUGGUUUGGUUCAUUUCGGCUGUUGUAAACGAGGCACGCCAAUAAA